This 405-nucleotide ribosomal RNA is filed under the name uncultured bacterium. RNAcentral's name for it is "bacterial SSU rRNA". It matches the Rfam family "Bacterial small subunit ribosomal RNA", at positions 954 to 1360 of the family's 1533-position model. The record is from RNAcentral.
GCUUAACGCGAAGAACCUUACCAAGGCUUGACAUAUACCGAAAACUCAUGGAGACAUGGGGUCCGCAAGGGCGGUAUACAGGUGGUGCAUGGUUGUCGUCAGCUCGUGUCGUGAGAUGUUGGGUUAAGUCCCGCAACGAGCGCAACCCUCGUCCUAUGUUGCCAGCGGGUAAUGCCGGGGACUCAUAGGAGACUGCCGGGGUCAACUCGGAGGAAGGUGGGGAUGACGUCAAAUCAUCAUGCCCCUUAUGUCUUGGGCUUCACGCAUGCUACAAUGGCCGGUACAAAGGGCUGCGAUACCGCAAGGUGGAGCGAAUCCCAAAAAGCCGGUCUCAGUUCGGAUUGGGGUCUGCAACUCGACCCCAUGAAGUCGGAGUCGCUAGUAAUCGCAGAUCAGCAACGCUGC